GGCACGUGCCAGUAAUCCCAGCUACUUGGGAGGUUGAGGCACGAGAAUCGCUUGAACCUGGGAGAUAGAGGUUGCAGUGAGCUGAAUCAUAUCAUCUUUGUACUACUUCUGUGGUUGCUUUCAAUUUUCCAUUUUAACCUAUCUCAUUAAUUAUAUCUGUCUUAUGGACGCAUUUAAAAAAAUUUUUUGAGACAGGGUCUCGCUGUUUCACCCAGGCUGGAGUGCAGUGGCGCGAUCAUAGCUCACUGCAGUUGGACUGGAUGUGCCUGUAUAGCCAAAUGAGCAAUCCUAUUCAUUCCACUUUCUUCCUGCUGUCCUGGUAGCAAGCACACAGGGGGACAGGCUUUGCAAUUUGCAGAUUUACCCAGAGAACUCCUGGCCAGCAGAGUGAGCAUCCUCCUUAGCUCUGACUACAGACAGAGCAGUGUCUUGCAUGUGGGAGGUGCAAUCAAUAGGGAAAAAUAAAUGAGUCCUUGUGUUUGACAAGGCUAGGGAGAUGGCAGCUCUGCUGUCAGCCUGGGCCUCUUAAUAACUGUGGAAGAGGACUUCCCAGUUAAACCCAACCAUAUUUAUGAUCCCAUUAAGUGAAAUGGUCUAAAUAUUCCAAUUAA
Molecule: long non-coding RNA, 611 nt
Filed under: Homo sapiens (human)
Lineage: Eukaryota; Metazoa; Chordata; Mammalia; Primates; Hominidae
Description: non-protein coding lnc-CLCN4-2:1
Source: RNAcentral